Molecule: ribosomal RNA, 254 nt
Filed under: uncultured bacterium
Lineage: Bacteria
Description: partial 16S ribosomal RNA
Rfam family: Bacterial small subunit ribosomal RNA
Source: RNAcentral
UACGGGGGGAGCAAGCGUUGUUCGGAUUUACUGGGCGUAAAGGGCGCGUAGGCGGUCGUGACAAGUCACUUGUGAAAUCUCCGGGCUUAACUCGGAACGGUCAAGUGAUACUGUCGGACUAGAGUACAGAAGGGGCAACUGGAAUUCUCGGUGUAGCGGUGAAAUGCGUAGAUAUCGAGAGGAACACCAAUGGCGAAGGCAGCUCGCUGGGACGUGACUGACGCUGAGACGCGAAAGCGUGGGGAGCAAACAGG